RNAcentral lists this ribosomal RNA (506 nucleotides) under uncultured bacterium. RNAcentral's name for it is "bacterial SSU rRNA". It matches the Rfam family "Bacterial small subunit ribosomal RNA", at positions 934 to 1441 of the family's 1533-position model. The record is from RNAcentral.
GGAGCAUGUGGUUUAAUUCGAAGCAACGCGAAGAACCUUACCAGGUCUUGACAUCCUUUGACCACUCUAGAGAUAGAGCUUCCCCUUCGGGGGCAAAGUGACAGGUGGUGCAUGGUUGUCGUCAGCUCGUGUCGUGAGAUGUUGGGUUAAGUCCCGCAACGAGCGCAACCCUUAUUGUUAGUUGCCAUCAUUCAGUUGGGCACUCUAGCAAGACUGCCGGUGACAAACCGGAGGAAGGUGGGGAUGACGUCAAAUCAUCAUGCCCCUUAUGACCUGGGCUACACACGUGCUACAAUGGGAAGUACAACGAGUUGCGAAGUCGCGAGGCUAAGCUAAUCUCUUAAAGCUUCUCUCAGUUCGGAUUGCAGGCUGCAACUCGCCUGCAUGAAGCCGGAAUCGCUAGUAAUCGCGGAUCAGCACGCCGCGGUGAAUACGUUCCCGGGCCUUGUACACACCGCCCGUCACACCACGAGAGUUUGUAACACCCGAAGUCGGUGAGGUAACCU